AUUGAACGCUGGCGGCAGGCCUAACACAUGCAAGUCGAACGAGUGGCGGAUGGGUGAGUAAUGUCUGGGAAACUGCCCGAUGGAGGGGGAUAACUACUGGAAACGGUAGCUAAUACCGCAUACCAUCGGAUGUGCCCAGAUGGGAUUAGCUUGUAGGUGAGGUAACGGCUCACCUAGGCGACGAUCCCUAGCUGGUCUGAGAGGAUGACCAGCAAAACUGGAACGGAGACACGGUACAGACUCCUAGGUGAGGGAGAAGUGGGGAAUAUGGCAAAAUGGGCGCAAGUCUGAUGCAGCCAGGGCGCGUGUAUGAAGAAGGCCUUCGGGUUGUAAAGUACUUGCAGCGGGGAGUCGGUACCCGCAGAAGAAGUACAGGCUAACUCCGUGCCAGCAGCCGCGGUAAUAC
This 406-nucleotide ribosomal RNA is filed under the name uncultured bacterium. RNAcentral's name for it is "partial 16S ribosomal RNA". It matches the Rfam family "Bacterial small subunit ribosomal RNA", at positions 29 to 526 of the family's 1533-position model. The record is from RNAcentral.